GACGAACGCUGGCGGCGUGCCUAAUACAUGCAAGUAGAACGCUGAAGGAGGAGCUUGCUUCUCUGGAUGAGUUGCGAACGGGUGAGUAACGCGUAGGUAACCUGCCUGGUAGCGGGGGAUAACUAUUGGAAACGAUAGCUAAUACCGCAUAAUAUUGACUAUUGCAUGAUAGUCAAUUAAAAGGUGCAAUUGCAUCACUACCAGAUGGACCUGCGUUGUAUUAGCUAGUUGGUGGGGUAACGGCUCACCAAGGCGACGAUACAUAGCCGACCUGAGAGGGUGAUCGGCCACACUGGGACUGAGACACGGCCCAGACUCCUACGGGAGGCAGCAGUAGGGAAUCUUCGGCAAUGGACGGAAGUCUGACCGAGCAACGCCGCGUGAGUGAAGAAGGUUUUCGGAUCGUAAAGCUCUGUUGUAAGAGAAGAACGAGUGUGAGAGUGGAAAGUUCACACUGUGACG
RNAcentral lists this ribosomal RNA (462 nucleotides) under Streptococcus sp. oral taxon 058. Its description in RNAcentral is "bacterial SSU rRNA". It matches the Rfam family "Bacterial small subunit ribosomal RNA", at positions 28 to 474 of the family's 1533-position model. Lineage: Bacteria; Bacillati; Bacillota; Bacilli; Lactobacillales; Streptococcaceae. The record is from RNAcentral.